GUUCUCCCCUGACCUGUUGGUGCAGGAGUCUGCCCCACCCACUUGAGCACCUAUUUAAUCCAGCUCAGCCAGGGCAGGCAGCCCACCCUAGGGACUGGCCGCAUCCAACAGCAAGCCCUUGGGCAACAUGUGGGUCCACAUAGGCAGGGUGUGUGGGACCUCUGCAGUGGGAAGAACCAGCAGAGGAUUCCAAGGUUUUAAGAGGUGAUGGGACCACAAGACGGAAGGACCCUUUCCAGACACCUAUCAGACUUCAUAUGAGAAAGAAAGAAACUUCUGUUGAGUUUGGAUUCCCCCAAAGCAGGCUCUGAAGGAAGACUCAAAAGCAAGUACUUUACUUGGGAGGUGAUCCCAGGAAGCCCAGUGAUGAAAUGGGGAAGUGACAGUGGAAGAGAGGAAAACCAAUGAACGAGACAAGACUGCAAACCUAGCAGAGUGGAGAGCUUAACAUAUCCUGGUUUUCCUGCUGCAAGUGGGGUUGAAAAGCACGCGCAGUGGAUUGAAAAUCACAACUAUCCUGCCAAGCGCAGCAGGCUAGCGUUUCCUGGAAUCUGGUCUUAUUUGGAGCCAUACAAGCUGCUGCUUUCUGAAAGGAGGAAACUGAAAACAACAACAAAAGCAGAAUUUCUCUUUUAUUCCCGACUGGAAGAAAGAAAAUCAGGACCAUGAGCUAUCCACCGCUGAUGUCACGUUUGUCUUUAUACGUGACGAUUCCAUUCACCACACCUCUUCUCCGUUGUGUGGAAGCUCCAUCUUACCUCGUCUGCUUCCACCAAGCCAACUCCAUGCCUUUUAUUCAGGCAAAGGCCUAUGUUUACUCAAUUAUUAGGAAUUAAAGAGGUUUAGAACUGUGAGAACAUUUUUAUUGGGUCAGUUUUUUAUUUUAAUUAAUUUUUUAAGCGUGUUUCUCUUGAGACUUUGUUUUUAAUGUUGUGCCUGUACCUCCGUUUCCCCCCAGGCCUGUUACUUAUAUUGUACGUGAUCCUAUAGCAUGGCGAUUUUUAGUAACACCUCUGCCAGGUUACUGUUUCUUGUUGUAAAUUAGCAUUUCCUUGGUUACUAAAAUCAUUCUUUCUUUUGUUUUCUGGCCACUUGUAUAUCUCUCUUUAUAUCCCUGUUGUUGUGACACGCGUGUCAUAACUUUCACCCAUUUUUCUCUUGGCUUAUUUGUCUUUUUCUAAUGUGUAUGAGGUUUUAAAAAAUAUAUUCUCAACAUGUUAACAUAUCUUACAACUGCUGCCUCUUUCCACGCCUGCUUGCUUUCACGUCGCGUGGUGCUGGGGUUAUUGGGAUCUGGCCAAGGGGAUAUUGAAGUGGGGACAUAUUUCGUUUGGAUUUAGUGGGAUGUGUUUAUGUGGUUUGCAGUCACUUCCACAUAGUACAGUAAAGUUAUUGUGGGACAUCCUCGUGUAGGAGUGGCUUUCAGGAAUACUUCUGUUUGUUGUGUCGACUGACCUACUAUUGUGACACAGAGGUUUGAGGCCAGAGGUCGUACCGCGAUACGAAUGUGUUCUAGUCUCCCAGCGCUAGAAGUAUGUAAGAGAGGAGAAAUAAACUUUGAAAUUCACAGAGCCAGAACCUAGUCUGUGGAAAAUCCUUCCAAUGACCGGACAGGGACACAUCUCCCGCCACCCCCAGCCCAGGUGAACUUCAAGUGCCACACAACCUAGACCUGCCCUUGCUUCAAUGUCCGGGGGCAGUGUCCAAAGCUUAGAGAUCUACAAUGACUAUCAAAUGCCGGCUGGAAUAUGAAACAACAAGGCUGCACAACAGUUGUGUUGCUGGAGGGAAUGGAGAUCAAGAUGCUGAAGCAGGAGCUGCUAGCACAAAAGUUUUUGCUCACCUCCAAGGUUUCAGUGAAAAGAUUUCAUGGGGAUUAAAGACACUCAAACACUUCCAAGCAGUUGCUUUACUCAGAAGUUAAUAAACUUUGGAAACUGCUGAUGUUAGCGUGUGACUUUUGCCUAACGUCUUUCGAUAGUUUAGUUUGCUUUUUUUUUUUUUAAAGGGAGGAGUAUAAAGCAGAAGAUAAAUUUAUGAUGUCAAAUAAAAUGGUUUGCUUGCAUUGGCCUUUCCUUCAACCUUGCGGCUGAAUUCCGUUUUUGGUUGUAAUGUAGACACUGCUUUACCUUCUCUGAGAAUAUGGUUUUGAGGCUGUGAGUAUCACCCCAGGCACUAAUCAGUCAAUAGAACACGAGCUGUCUCUGAAAAAGUAGAAGUCCA
RNAcentral lists this long non-coding RNA (2223 nucleotides) under Equus caballus (horse). RNAcentral describes it as "lncRNA (ENSECAG00000059613.1)". The record is from RNAcentral. Lineage: Eukaryota; Metazoa; Chordata; Mammalia; Perissodactyla; Equidae.